CUCUCCUAGUACUAUUACCCAUUCUGAACCGAAUCAACACACACACUAGUACUAGUGCAGCCAGAACACAAGUAGUACACGCAUGCCCUCCUCUGUUUCUUCUACACCUUGCCCAGAUCGAGCAGCACGCCAGCGACGGGAAAGAUGCUGCUCCGCCGCUGCCGGAUCCUCAAAUCUCUCUCUCUCUCUCUCUCUCUCUCUCUCUCUCUCUCUGAUGUAAAUCCCCAUAUGUCCCCCAUGGAUUCAUCCCUAACCCUCAAAUCCUCCUCUGAUUUUGGCUUGCAGGUGAGGCUCUCGUUGGGAUGUGAUUCCGCUGCUCCAGAUCGAAGUCGCCGGCUUGGGCGCCGCCGUGAUGCUGGAUGGUGCAGGUCAGAGCUCCAGUGCGUGGCCAUGGAGCAGAUCGAACAUAUGUGCAGAUAGAAAGAUGAAGAAAGUGGGAGGAAGACAAGCUGCAGGUUUGGCUAUUUGGGGAAGAAUGGAGAUGUGUGAAGUCUUGGCAAUGGCUUGCUCUGCUCUCUCUCCUUUUAAUAUCAGAAAACCAUCUUCCUUGGCUGGUAUGGCUUCCCAUCCCCUUCUCCAUUGUUCUCACAGGUGCUAGCUUGUAAUUGGCUGAAGGUUGAAGCCCAUACAUAGACUAUAAUGUUGAACAAUUGACUAUUAAUCUAUUGUGCACGUGAGAGUGGUGGUUAGUGUGUCUCAAAUGUGUCAUGUUGUCCUAGUUGACUCAAAGAUAUUUUGUGUUGGUCUAAGUUUGGUCUGGCAUUGUUGUAUAGGUUAACAUAGUUUGGUCUUCCUAUAUUUUUUUUCAAAGAUUUGUAGUACACCUGUACAACUGUACUGUUUGAGGUGUAUGGAUAUAAAUAUAUAUAUUUGAGUGGUUAUGCUUGUUGAAGAA
Triticum aestivum (bread wheat) is the source of this 895-nucleotide long non-coding RNA. RefSeq lists it as uncharacterized. Lineage: Eukaryota; Viridiplantae; Streptophyta; Magnoliopsida; Poales; Poaceae. The record is from RefSeq and is a predicted model, not a curated record. The transcript has 2 exons.